RNAcentral lists this ribosomal RNA (519 nucleotides) under uncultured eukaryote. RNAcentral's name for it is "SSU rRNA". It matches the Rfam family "Eukaryotic small subunit ribosomal RNA", at positions 1161 to 1699 of the family's 1831-position model. The record is from RNAcentral.
AGGGCACCACCAGGAGUGGAGCCUGCGGCUUAAUUUGACUCAACACGGGAAAACUCACCCGGCCCGGACACUGGAAGGAUUGACAGAUUGAGAGCUCUUUCUUGAUUCAGUGGGUGGUGGUGCAUGGCCGUUCUUAGUUGGUGGAGUGAUUUGUCUGGUUAAUUCCGAUAACGAACGAGACUCUAGCCUACUAAAUAGAUAGUCGGCUUACAAACGUCGACUAGACUUCUUAGAGGGACAGGCGGUGAUUCAACCGCACGAAACAGAGCAAUAACAGGUCUGUGAUGCCCUUAGAUGUCCGGGGCCGCACGCGCGCUACACUGAAGUGAUCAGCGUGCUUUUUCAGCCUACUCUGUCAAGAGUGGGAAACCCAAUGAACCUUCUUCGUGAUUGGGAUAGGGGAUUGUAAUUAUUCCCCUUGAGCGAGGAAUUCCCAGUAAGCGCGAGUCAUAAGCUCGCGUUGAUUACGUCCCUGCCCUUUGUACACACCGCCCGUCGCUACUACCGAUUGAAUGUUUU